CGAACGCUGGCGGCGUGCUUAACACAUGCAAGUCGAACGGAAAGGCCCUGCUUUUGUGGGGUGCUCGAGUGGCGAACGGGUGAGUAACACGUGAGUAACCUGCCCUUGACUUUGGGAUAACUUCAGGAAACUGGGGCUAAUACCGGAUAGGAGCUCCUGCUGCAUGGUGGGGGUUGGAAAGUUUCGGCGGUUGGGGAUGGACUCGCGGCUUAUCAGCUUGUUGGUGGGGUAGUGGCUUACCAAGGCUUUGACGGGUAGCCGGCCUGAGAGGGUGACCGGCCACAUUGGGACUGAGAUACGGCCCAGACUCCUACGGGAGGCAGCAGUGGGGAAUAUUGCACAAUGGGCGGAAGCCUGAUGCAGCAACGCCGCGUGCGGGAUGACGGCCUUCGGGUUGUAAACCGCUUUCGCCUGUGACGAAGCGUGAGUGACGGUAAUGGGUAAAGAAGCACCGGCUAACUACGUGCCAGCAGCCGCGGUGAUACGUAGGGUGCGAGCGUUGUCCGGAUUUAUUGGGCGUAAAGGGCUCGUAGGUGGUUGAUCGCGUCGGAAGUGUAAUCUUGGGGCUUAACCCUGAGCGUGCUUUCGAUACGGGUUGACUUGAGGAAGGUAGGGGAGAAUGGAAUUCCUGGUGGAGCGGUGGAAUGCGCAGAUAUCAGGAGGAACACCAGUGGCAAAGGCGGUUCUCCUGGCCUUUCCUGACGCUGAGGAGCGAAAGCGUGGGGAGCGAACAGGCUUAGAUACCCUGGUAGUCCACGCUGUAAACGGUGGGUACUAGGUGUGGGGUCCAUUCCACGGGUUCCGUGCCGUAGCUAACGCUUUAAGUACCCCGCCUGGGGAGUACGGCCGCAAGGCUAAAACUCAAAGGAAUUGACGGGGCCCCGCACAAGCGGCGGAGCAUGCGGAUUAAUUCGAUGCAACGCGUAGAACCUUACCUGGGUUUGACAUGGAUCGGGAGUGCUCAGAGAUGGGUGUGCCUCUUUUGGGGUCGGUUCACAGGUGGUGCAUGGCUGUCGUCAGCUCGUGUCGUGAGAUGUUGGGUUAAGUCCCGCAACGAGCGCAACCCUUGUUCACUGUUGCCAGCACGUUAUGGUGGGGACUCAGUGGAGACCGCCGGGGUCAACUCGGAGGAAGGUGGGGAUGACGUCAAGUCAUCAUGCCCCUUAUGUCCAGGGCUUCACGCAUGCUACAAUGGCUGGUACAGAGAGUGGCGAGCCUGUGAGGGUGAGCGAAUCUCGGAAAGCCGGUCUCAGUUCGGAUUGGGGUCUGCAACUCGACCUCAUGAAGUCGGAGUCGCUAGUAAUCGCAGAUCAGCAACGCUGCGGUGAAUACGUUCCCGGGGCUUGUACACACCGCCCGUCAAGUCAUGAAAGUUGGUAACACCCGAAGCCGGUGGCCUAACCGUUGUGGGGGAGCCGUCGAAGGUGGGACUGGUGAUU
RNAcentral lists this ribosomal RNA (1439 nucleotides) under uncultured organism. Its description in RNAcentral is "16S ribosomal RNA". It matches the Rfam family "Bacterial small subunit ribosomal RNA". The record is from RNAcentral.